Molecule: ribosomal RNA, 253 nt
Filed under: uncultured bacterium
Lineage: Bacteria
Description: partial 16S ribosomal RNA
Rfam family: Bacterial small subunit ribosomal RNA
Source: RNAcentral
GACGUAGGGCGCGAGCGUCGUCCGGAUUUAUUGGGCGUAAAGAGCUCGUAGGCGGCUUGUCGCGUCGUCCGUGAAAACCUGCAGCUCAACUGCAGGCUUGCGGUCGAUACGGGCAGGCUGGAGUUCGGUAGGGGAGACUGGAAUUCCUGGUGUAGCGGUGAAAUGCGCAGAUAUCAGGAGGAACACCAGUGGCGAAGGCGGCUCACUGGCCCGGUACUGACGCUGAGGUGCGAAAGCUAGGGGAGCAAACAGG